CUGAAAUACAGAGAGUCCAGCAUACAUUCUACCAGGCCACACAGCGAGUGCUGACAGAGCCAGGAGCGCUUUAUGAAAUCCAGACUGUCAGGCUAAUGUUCUAUCAGCUAGACCUCCAUGUGAGUCUCAUGACACAUAGGUAUGUCCUCAGACAUGCGCUACAUUCCUG
This 169-nucleotide long non-coding RNA is filed under the name Chinchilla lanigera (long-tailed chinchilla). RNAcentral's name for it is "lncRNA (ENSCLAG00000026310.1)". The record is from RNAcentral. Lineage: Eukaryota; Metazoa; Chordata; Mammalia; Rodentia; Chinchillidae.